AUGACAGCUUUGAGAAGGAAAGUACGUUAAAUGAGUAGCUUUCAGAGAGUUCCUGGUUGGUGAGAAGGAAUAGCGAAAGUUUUGCUGAAAAUCACCUUUGAGCAGAAAUUACGAAUUGAGUAGUUUCAGGGACCGCCCUUUACAGCGGCGACGUAUCGCUCAUCAUUGAUGGGCCGCACGUGCAUGAGGCUGACUUUGUCAGCGAAAGAUAGGUGGUACAGCGCUGAGGCGCCCUAUUA
RNAcentral lists this non-coding RNA (239 nucleotides) under Lactobacillus kalixensis. Its description in RNAcentral is "T-box sequence". It matches the Rfam family "T-box leader". From Rfam's summary of the family: Uncharged tRNA acts as the effector for transcription antitermination of genes in the T-box leader family. Lineage: Bacteria; Bacillati; Bacillota; Bacilli; Lactobacillales; Lactobacillaceae. The record is from RNAcentral.